UUUUUUGUGGUGUAGUGGUCGGCACGCUGGGCAUGUAUUCCAGAGGUCCGUGGUUCGAGUCCCGGCGAAAACA
Molecule: transfer RNA, 73 nt
Filed under: Stegodyphus mimosarum
Lineage: Eukaryota; Metazoa; Arthropoda; Arachnida; Araneae; Eresidae
Rfam family: tRNA
About the family: Transfer RNA (tRNA) molecules are approximately 80 nucleotides in length. Their secondary structure includes four short double-helical elements and three loops (D, anti-codon, and T loops).
Source: Rfam by way of RNAcentral